This 77-nucleotide transfer RNA is filed under the name Fodinibius sp. Its description in RNAcentral is "tRNA-Gln". It matches the Rfam family "tRNA". From Rfam's summary of the family: Transfer RNA (tRNA) molecules are approximately 80 nucleotides in length. Their secondary structure includes four short double-helical elements and three loops (D, anti-codon, and T loops). Further hydrogen bonds mediate the characteristic L-shaped molecular structure. tRNAs have two regions of fundamental functional importance: the anti-codon, which is responsible for specific mRNA codon recognition, and the 3' end, to which the tRNAs corresponding amino acid is attached (by aminoacyl-tRNA synthetases). tRNAs cope with the degeneracy of the genetic code in two manners: having more than one tRNA (with a specific anti-codon) for a particular amino acid; and 'wobble' base-pairing, i.e. permitting non-standard base-pairing at the 3rd anti-codon position. The record is from RNAcentral. Lineage: Bacteria; Pseudomonadati; Balneolota; Balneolia; Balneolales; Balneolaceae.
UGCCACAUAGCACAAUUGGCCAGUGCAUCGGAAUUUGACUCCGAAGGUUCUAGGUUCGAAUCCUAGUGUGGCAACCA